Molecule: long non-coding RNA, 541 nt
Filed under: Setaria viridis
Lineage: Eukaryota; Viridiplantae; Streptophyta; Magnoliopsida; Poales; Poaceae
Description: long non-coding RNA (SVIR_LNC010965)
Source: RNAcentral
AUGGUCAUUUCCAUGGUAGUGCAAGCUAGGUUGCGUGCCACGAACAAGAAGAUGAUUACAACUAUUAUGUGGGUGGGGAUGAUAGAUUUAGGAAAAGGAUGGCCACAAGCCACAUUAGCAUUGAGCACAUGUGAUGUGUGGUGACGUAUACAUGAGGUAGUGCAAAGUCGCCCCACUAUACAUGAUUCAUAAAUGAUCGUCAGAUCGAUAAUGCACGAUGACUAUGGAGGCCAGGUAGGCACGAACAGUACUUAAAGACAGUACCCAAGCCAUGGCAGCAAUGCCAAGAACAUCUCGAAGAGUGGUGGCAAUGAUGAGCCGGCAUUGUGAGGCUGAGGUGUGCAGACUGGGAAAGAGCACCACAUGAAGGCCUCCCUUGGGAUGGUAUGCAUAGCUCCAGUCCUACGGCCAUGGACCAGGAGCGCCUGCCGACGUAAAAGUACUGGGUGAAAGUAAACCAGUCGAUGAUUCAAAAAAAAAAUCCUGAAUAAAUGAUCGGUGAGAGACAAAAACCAAUCGGUUCACCAAACAAAGAUAUUUU